CUGGGGUGAGGGCGCUGUCCAAGUCCUGACUACAUGCCUGGGCUCAACCCACCUUCCCCACGCACCUCCUUCCUGGUCUUAGAUGUGGGCCCCAGAGCACUCUCCCUCCAGGUCUUGGAGGCCUGCUCCCUCACCUAUCUCAGCUCCAAUGUCACCUCCUCAGAGGGGCCCAGCCCCCAACUAUCUUUACUAAUACAGGCCCCCUUUUGUUGGUUCCUGAGCUGUUCUUGUCACCAUUCCCAACGUGGUACUGGAUGGCCUGUGGGACACACAUUUCCCACAUGGAUGUAUCAGGGCCCCAGGCUGACUUACCAGGAAGCAAAUCUUCUUUAUGCUGAAGGCAUUCUGACAACUUUCCAUUUAGAGCAACUGACACAUUUUACAAGGGCGAGGCCAUUAACAUCCCCAUUUAACAGAAGGGGAAACAGAGUCUCAAAGAUUUGCUCAGGAUACACAGACAGCUUCCUGAAGGCGUCUCUUUAAUGGCAAAACUGGGUUGGACCAGAGGAGUGGGGAGAAGAGCAGUCUAGGGACCAGAGCCGUGGAUUUACCAGUAAUCUUGACAACCUCAGUUUCCAUUUGUAAAAUGGAGAUAGUAAUCCAAGAUCUACCGAACUUUCCCAGUACUAUCUAUUAGUUAUUCAUCAAACCCUCCCAGUGCUCUGAGGCUAUACAAGUUUCAGAGAUUACAUCACUUGGGUGCGGACACACAGCAAGUCAGCCGUACACCCUAAACGCCGACACUGCCUAGUCUGCCUCCGGAACCCAGGAUCGCACGUAAGGGCCAAGACUGCCCUUCGCCUCACGGGGCCGGCGUAGGCAAAAGCUGCGAGAAGGCAAAGUGAGGCGACAGGAGCGGGGACGCCUCCUGGAGAAGAGGCCUA
This is a non-coding RNA of Kogia breviceps (pygmy sperm whale), 884 nucleotides long. Lineage: Eukaryota; Metazoa; Chordata; Mammalia; Artiodactyla; Physeteridae. The record is from RefSeq and is a predicted model, not a curated record.